GACAAAAGGCAAAGGACUAAUGCUGGGAAAAAGGCAUGAAAUAAAGAUUUGUACUGUACAGUUCAUAUUAGUAGGGAAAAUGUAUGCUCUAUGUUAUAUAUUUUCUUUACAGUGAUGAUUUUCAUUACGUGAAUUCCAGAGAUGAUUGUUAUGAUUUUAAAGAGGUGAUGAUGCAAGCAAACUUGUUACUGACUUAAAUGAUCUUACUGGAGAAGGAAAGUUGAAAUGGGAUUGAAAGAGCUUGCUUCUUUAAAGGUUUUCAGAAAUAUUUUACAUGGCUUAAAUAUAUUGUUAUGGGAAAUUCAUUCAUCUUAGUAAUUUUUGUUACCUUUCUGUAAAAGGUUGAGGAUGAUGCAAUUGUGCAAGCAUUAGCUCAACAGUGGCGUCCAAAUUCUGCUCAAAUUCUGCUCAACAAUUAGUCUCGGGUAUGUAUUGUUACUGCUGUCACCAUUCUUGUUAUGCUGCGCUUACAUAACUCUUGAAUGAUUGAAGAGAAGCUUUUUAAAAACCACAAAAACACAUUUUGUUGAAAGAUUAACACCAGUUAGCUCGUGAAUAAUGUCAUUAGAUUGACAUAUUUUGUAUCAUCAUUAGAUCGAACACUCUUAAUAAACUUUCCAUAUUGAUUUUAAAAAGAGGGAGGAAAUAGACAAAUAUUCAACAAACCUUAUAUUUAUUCUUCAAAAGAUAACCAUGUCACAAUAGUACAGUCAUCAAUUGAUGUCACAAACCACAUAGCCCCGUGUGUAGAGUUAGUAAUAGGUCACCACACAUAAGAAUACUAACUGUAAUAGACAGUUAGUCAGUUAUUGUUGAUUGUCUCCCUUCCUUCUUUCGUAAACUUUCCAUUUAUUUUCAUUCCCAUC
RNAcentral lists this long non-coding RNA (866 nucleotides) under Vigna radiata. RNAcentral's name for it is "long non-coding RNA (VRAD_LNC011423)". The record is from RNAcentral. Lineage: Eukaryota; Viridiplantae; Streptophyta; Magnoliopsida; Fabales; Fabaceae.